CCAGGGUUCUGAAUUAAACUAUUCUUUGU
This 29-nucleotide transfer RNA is filed under the name Halichoeres californicus. RNAcentral's name for it is "Oxyjulis californica partial tRNA-Pro". The record is from RNAcentral. Lineage: Eukaryota; Metazoa; Chordata; Actinopteri; Labriformes; Labridae.